GAUGAACGCUGGCGGCGUGCCUAAUACAUGCAAGUCGAGCGAACGGACGAGAAGCUUGCUUCUCUGAUGUUAGCGGCGGACGGGUGAGUAACACGUGGAUAACCUACCUAUAAGACUGGGAUAACUUCGGGAAACCGUAGCUAAUACCGGAUAAUAUUUUGAACCGCAUGGUUCAAAAGUGAAAGACGGUCUUGCUGUCACUUAUAGAUGGAUCCGCGCUGCAUUAGCUAGUUGGUAAGGUAACGGCUUACCAAGGCAACGAUGCAUAGCCGACCUGAGAGGGGGAUCGGACACACUGGAACUGAGACACGGACCAGACUACUACGGGAGGCAGCAGUAGGGAAUAUUACGCAAUGGGCGAAAGCAUGACGGAGCAAAGCAGAGUGAGUGAUGAAGGUCUUAGGAUCGUAAAACUCUGUUAUUAGGGAAGAAAAUAUGUGUAAGUAACUGUGCACAGCUUGACGGUACCUAAUCAGAAAGCCACGGCUAACUACGUG
RNAcentral lists this ribosomal RNA (497 nucleotides) under uncultured bacterium. RNAcentral describes it as "partial 16S ribosomal RNA". It matches the Rfam family "Bacterial small subunit ribosomal RNA", at positions 28 to 507 of the family's 1533-position model. The record is from RNAcentral.